This 8153-nucleotide long non-coding RNA is filed under the name Homo sapiens (human). RNAcentral's name for it is "non-protein coding lnc-C10orf143-11:3". Lineage: Eukaryota; Metazoa; Chordata; Mammalia; Primates; Hominidae. The record is from RNAcentral.
GCCCCUGCCUGCGCUGAGGCUGCCGAGCCUGAGAAAUCCCAAAAGGGGCCUCGGCGGCGGGCUCUGGAUCCCGCUGGGGGGCUCUGACCCUGCCAAGUCUGGGCACUCCGCUGCGGGCCUCCUGGCUCCCGGGGUUCAUGGCUGUUAUGGUUCCUGGCUGUCGGGGCUCCUGGCUUUCGGGGCUCCCUGGCUGAAGGGGCUCCUGGCUGUAGGGGCUCCUGGCUAUGGAGGUUCCCGGUUAUAAGGGCUUCUGGAUGUAGUGGAUUCUGGCCGUCGAGGUCCCUGGCUGUCGGGGCUCCUGGCCGUAAUGGCCCCUGGCUGUCGGGACCCCUGGGUGUCGGGGUUCCUGGCUGUCGGGACCCCUGGGUGUCGGGGUUCCUGACUGUAGGGGCUCCUGGGUGUUAGGGUUCCUGGCUAUAGCAGGGGCUCCUGGGUGUCGGGGUUCCUUGCUGUCAGGGCUCCUGGUGGUAGAGGCUUCUUGCUGUUGGCUUCCUGGCUGUCGGGGUGACUGGGUGUCAGGGCUCCUGGUGUUAGGGUUCCUGGCUUCCUGGCUGUAGUAGGGGCUCCUGGGUGUCGGGGUUCCUUGCUGUCAGGGCUCCUGGUGGUAGAGGCUUCUGGCUGUUGGGGUUCCUGGGUGCCAGGGCUCCUGGGUGUCAGGGUUCCUGGCUGUCAGGACACCUGACUCCUGAGGCUCCUGGCUUUUGGGGCUCCAGACCUUCCUUGCACUUCCUGUGUCUCCUGGGUCUGUAAUAGAAGGGGCCGGUGGAGGGGUGGGGGUGAGACAUGUGAGUGAAAGUGAAGUCAGAUGUGUACAUUUAGGAAGCUGAAAUUAUCAAAAAUGAAAUUGCAUAAAGGUGAGGAAGAACUGGGAGGUCUGGGAACAGAAGUGGUAGAUCUUGAACUUCAACACAGACAGGGUGCUUCCAAUUCAGUCCUGGGACCUGAACCCGGAGCCCACAGCAUGUCCCUCCUCCCCUGGCCCUCCGCGCGUGCCGCCACUCAUUGCAGCCCCACAGAGCCAUCACCCAUUGUAACCUCAGAACAGAAGGGGCUGGGUGGGUCCACAGAUCCCUGCACUCCUCCCGUCUUGCCUCCUUGGAUGAUCCCUGGCUUGUCUUUCUCCCUUGGGAAUCCCCCUGAUGUUGGCUCUCCAUGUGGUGUACUCUGUACCCCACACCCCAUGCUUCCCACACACCUUCUGGCCUGAGUAAUCUCCAUGCCCCCAGUGACAUCAACCUCCAGGGAAACCUCAAUAGCAAGCCCAGAACCCUCCCCUGCAUCCCAGAGCCUAGCAUCCACUAACUUUGAGGAGGGGCCAUCUUUUAUUGGAUAUCCCCAAACCACACUGGGCCUUCCCUCCAAAGUGCCUCUCCUCUUGGUUCCCAUCUCAGGGAACACCAUCGCUCCCACCCAGACACUUGGGGCUCCUUCUGACUGGUCCCCCUGCUGUCCCUGGGCUUUGAGGCCAAGCCCCCACAGAGCCUUCCCUACUAGCCAGGUGUUCCCAGGCCUCCUUUGCUUGCUUCUACCGUGGCCUGUCUCAUGUUGUAGAACUGUGCUUGUCCUCCAUUGGCCUGUGUUCUUAAAGGGCAGGAGCUGAUCUGUGUCUCAGUGCCUGGAUCAGAGUCAGACACAUAGGAGGUACUCAGUCCAUGCUAACAGCUGCCAGAGGACUGGGCUCACUGGAUUGCAAAGACUUCGUACGAGAAAAGUAGCAUAUCAUUCAUACUUUUUAUAUUGAUUACAUGUUGAAAUGAGGAUAUUUGGAUAUAUUCGGUUUUCUGAAAUAUAUUAUUUAAAUUGGUCUCUUUUACCUUUGGCUCCUGAGAAAUGUCUAAUUUCAUAGGCAACUUUCAUUCGUGGCCCUUGAAUUUUCUUGGGCAGCACUACUGUGGUGUUUAAAAGCCUUUUGGAGCCUGUCACAUGUAUACCUCACCUGGAGAAAUACAUGGUAUUGAACACGGUAAAUUGUGUUAUUUAAAAUGCAACAGGAGAGUGAUGAGGAACCAUUUUGUAUCUUGCCUGUGGUGGUGAGAACACAAACUAAACAUGAUAAAAUUGUAUAGAACUUGGCUGGGUGCUCUGACUCACACCUGUAAUCCCAACAAUUUGGAAACCCCAGACAGGAGGAUCACUUGAGCCGAGGAGUUGGAGACCAGCCGGGCAACAUAGGAAGACCCGGUCUCUACAAAAAUAUAUAUAUAUAUAUGAGUCAGGCAUGGUGGCUCACACUUGUGGGCCCAGGUAGGUGAGAGGCUGAGGUGAGAAGAUCACUUGAGCCUGGGAGUUGGAGGCUGCAGUGAGCCAUGAUCCUGCCACUGCUACUGCCCACUAACCUGGGCGACAGAGCAAGACCCUGUCUCAAAAACAAAAACAACGCACACACACACACACACGCAUGCACGCGCGCACGAGUACAAGUAAAACUGGGAAAAUCUGAAAAAGAUCAGUCGAUUGUUUAUAAAUAUCAACAUCCUGGUUGCAGUAUUACAGUUUUGCAAGGUGUUGUCAUCGGAAGAAAGUGUACACAGGAUCUGUAUUAUUUCUCACAACUGCAUGUGAAUCUACAGUUGUUUUAAACUAAAAAGUUUAGUUAAAAACCAUGUAAAUAAGACUUUAAAGUUUACUAUGAAAAGAAUGCAAUAGGAGGGAAAAAAGACACCAUGUCAAAAAAAAAGAAAAAGAUACCAUGUCAUAAAACAAGAUACACAUUCUGGUUAUCACUUUUUUUCUUUUCUUUUCUUUGAGAUGGAGUUUUGCUCCUGUUGGCCAGGCUGGAGUGCAAUGGCGUGAUGUCGGCUCACCGCAACCUCCACCUCCCGGGUUCAAGCGAUUCUCCUGCCUCAGCCUCCCAAGUAGCUGGGAUUACAGGUGUGUGCCACCACGCCCGCCUAAUUUUGUAUUUUUAGUAGAGACGGAGUUUCUCCAUGUUGGUCAGGCUGGUCUCGAACUCCUGACCUCAGGUGAUCCGCCCGCCUCGGCUUCCCAAAGUGCUGGGAUUGCAGGUGUGAGCCACUGUGCCCGGCCUGUGAUUAUCAUUUUUAAGUAGAAUUGAAUGUAAAUAAAACAUAUAACUAUAUCAGUGAAUGGCUCAUAGAAAAGGGUCUCCAGAAGGAUGCUCCCCAAAUUAUUAUCAGAGCUUGCCUCCAGAGGGCAGAAACAGAGGAGAGCUAAAGGGAGGCCCUUCACUUUGACUUACACACUUCUUUGUGUCAUUUGCUUGUUUUCUAAUAGCAUAGACUGCUUUUGACAUUUAAAAAAUAAUGAAAUUGUAUUGCACAGGGGAAAUGUGCUAUAGUGAAUCCUUUUCAAAAAAAAAAGCAGUAAUCACCCCUCAAAUGUGGCUGUUUUAUAAAUGCUGAUUUUUCUUUUAUUUUUUAUUUUUUGAGACGGAGUCUUGCCCUGUCACCCAGACUGGAGUGCAGUAGCGCGAUCUGAGCUCACUGCAAGCUCCGCCUCCCGGGUUCAUGCCAUUCUCCUACCUCAGCCUCCCGAGUAGCUAGGAAUAGAGGCGCCUGCCACCACGCCCGGCUAAUUUUUUGUAUUUUUAGUAGAGAUGGGGUUUCACCGUGUUAGCCAGGAUGGUCUCGAUCUCCCGACCUCGUGAUCCGCCCACCUCGGCCUCCCAAAGUGCUGGGAUUACAGGCGUGAGCCACCGCCCCCGGCCCGCUGAUUUUUCUUUUAAAUGGAAUUUGCUGAAAGUGGCACAAACCAGUUGCAGAGCAGACUCUAAAAAAAAUGCUAUGAAAACUCCUGGAUAACACUUCCAUUUCUGCCCUUUUUGUAGUUUAUUAUUGUAGGGGCCACAGGAAAGCUUCUCCUUAGCCCUCUGAUGGUUUGCUGAAAAUCACUGACAAAAGGCAGAUUAAUAGGAGAAAAGAUAAACAAAUUUAUUUGAUCACAGUUUCACGUGACACGUGAAGACUCAAAGAUACAGGGAAAACUGUCCAUUUGUAUGCUUAGGUUCAACGAAGUAUGGACAGUUAUGUAGAAAUACGAUUGGACAAAAUGGGUAUGCUCUUAUGCUAGCAGAACUCACUGGGGGCUUUGCAGAUGCUGACGCCCCCCAGAACCCCCUGCUACCAGCCAUGGUCAAUCCCACCAUGUUCUUCAACAUGGCCGUCAAUGGCAAGCCCUGGGGCCAUCAAACAGCCCUUCGAGCUGUUUGCAGACAAGAUUCCAAAGACAGCAGAACACUUGCAUGCUCUGAGCACUGGAGGGAAAGGAUUUUGUCAUGAGGGUUCCUGCUUUCACAGAAUUAUUCCAGGGCUUAUGUGUUAGGGUGGUGGCUUCACACGCCGUAAUGGCGCUGGUGGCAAGUCCAUCUACAGGGAGAAAUUUGAUGAUGAAAACUGUAGCCUGAAGCAUACAGGUCCCGGCAUGUUGUCCAAGGCAAAUGCUGGACCAACACGUACGGUUCCCAGUUUGGCAUCUGCACUGCCAAGACUCAGUGGUUGCAUGGCGAGCAUGUGGUCUUUGGCAAGAUGAAAGAAGGCAUGAGGGUCCAGAAAUGGCAAGACCAGCAAGAAGGUCACCAUUGCUGACUGUGGACAACUCUAAUAAAUGUGACUUUGUGUUUUGUCUUUGAAAAGAACUGACUGGGAGAACCCAGCAAGGCUGGUCUGGUGUUCAGAUUCUUCCUGGCCUCUGUGCAGCCUCCUUCCUUCUGGGUAAAGGAGCAAGACCCUCUGUGGAAUGAGGUCUUAUGAACUACACUCAAGCAAGACGGAAUCUCGUUCUGACGCCCAGGCUGGAGUGGAGUGGCAUGAUCUCGGCUCACUGCAACCUCCGCCUCCCGGGUUCAAGCAAUUCUUCUCCCUCAGCCUCCCAAGCAGCUGGGACUACAGGCGUGUGCCACCACACCUGCAUUUAGCCAUUUAGCCAAGUUCUAUUCCGUCUUGGUGGUGGUGGUGGGGUUCCCAUAGCCUGAAGAAUAAGGGCCUGGGGCUCUGGGCCUGGGGACUGAAGCUUAGGCCUUGGAGACCUGAAGCUCCAGUGGAAGAUGCUUUCCUGGACUUUCCUGGCAGCAAAAAAAACUUCACCUCUUGCCUAUGAAUUGCCUGUAUUUUAAAGGGUGUGUGUGUGUGUGUGUGUGUGUGAGAGAGAGAGAGAGAGAGAGAGAGAAAUUGAGGUGUAAUUAUUUUGCUGGGUGAUGACAACAAACAUUUACUGCUCCUAAACAGGCAAGGAAAUGAUUUAGCCAUGAACUUUUCAUGAUGCCUCAUUCCCUCCUGUGGUCCCGUGGUCCUCAGGCUGCGCAGUGGGAGAAGGGGGGGUGGGGGGCCACAAAUAACCCACGUGGAAAGGAAUGUGGGGUCAGCCUCAGGAAAACUGGGAGGGGAGGUCCCACCUGGUGGGGGUCUUUGUAAACCCUACCAAGGGAAGCCCAGAAACACAAAGAGGUGCAGGGAGAGAAAGAAGGAGGAGGUGUUUUAAAGAGUAAAGCCUGGCAUUAGAAAGUGUUAUUCGAGUAAAAUGGCCAACGUUUCCUUUCUUUUAAGAGCGACUCUUAAAUUCCAAUUACUCCGCCCCCAAAGACCAGUUGAGAAUAACCCCAACUGGAGGGAAUUAAUUUCCUUAGGAAUUUCACUCUUACAAGAUUAAUGGAGCCCCCCUGCAGAGAAACGGUAAAACUGUAAGUACAGUAGAUUUGCACCUGAAGGAUACAUAUUUUAAUUUCUGUUCUCAAGCUGCGAUAACAUCUUCUCCAGCUACUAUAAAAAGCAUAAAUGAGCACCCGCACGUCUGCUGAGAACUUGCAACCCCAGGCUCCCCGGGAGCAGCCCCGCGCCGACCCUCCACGUUGCUCGCCUGGGUGCGGCGUGGGCGCGGGGAUGGGAAGGCGCGGGGAUGGGAAGGCCCAGGGCAAACAGCCUCCCCGCGAGCCGGGUCGACCCAGCCCAGAGCAGAACCCCUGGACCAGAUUAUCUUAAGUCGACCCCUACCCCGCCCCCAGCCCUGUCACCCACCGUGGCACCGCCCUCCCGCGGGGACAAUUGGCCUGGACCAAGAAUGGGGAGCCUGAACAGUGGCCGGUCUCCCACCCGCUCCUCCGGAGCCUGCAGGGGGGUUCAGCCUCUGUCCAGCAGACUUCCUGGCCCCAAGAACGGGCCUUGGGAAGGGGCUCCCCUGACUCCAAGUUGACAGCAGCCCGUCCCUUCUCCUUAGCCCAAGCCACUCUGGCAAUGGGGACCUGCCUCCCUCACGCUAACCAAGGACCGGUCUGGGAUGGGGAGUUGGAGAUGGGCUGUGAGGACUCUUCUCUCAGCCCUUAAGAGUCCAGAACUUAUCUGGGAACACAUCAGCCAAUUUUCUGUUCCCUUUCUUGCCAGGAACUGCUUUUAUUGGAAGAAGUCUAUGUAUAUGCAUGCCAUAAAGGUUGUUUAUGCUGUCAUAGCUAGAUUUUUAUUGGUUGUAUUUUUGCUGCACUUGCUUGAAAAAUAAUUAUUUUCAAAGAAAAGAAGAAUUACAUAUCCAGUAAACUAAAUAAGACUCACUGUUUAUUAGAGACCUCUGACAGCUCCUCAAACACGAAAAAAGAUUUCCAAGUAGUGGAUGGACAAUUUAUGUUAUGUCUUAUCUGAUGGCUUCACAGUAAUCUGGUUUCCCCUAAGAAGCUAAGACUAUCUGGGCUAUUUGAGAUCCUGCAAGAUUUAUCAAGACUGUACUAGCCAUAUGAAAGCAUGUUAACACAGGGAGGGAGAGAGGAAAAGCCCUCCACAUGUUAUGACUGGCAUACAUGCUUCCAAAGCAUCGUUACUAACCGAAGGCCCAGUUCCUGAGGCGAUCACCCCAGACACACUGAAUGCAAUUUGUUGGUCACUGAGAGAACAGCACAAGAAAAACCCACCCCCAUGACUUGAUUACCUCCCACAACACGUGGGAAUCAUGGGAGCUACAAUUCAAGAAGAGAUUUGGGUGGAGACACAGCCAAACCACGUCACCAGACUGCCUCUUCAGGGAGUGAAUCACAAAUGUAUUCCUGACCACCCUGUUUUCUCCCCUCUUGAAUCAGGUAGUGAGUGAGUUCUGGCUCUAAGAGUUCAUGCAAGAGCUGAUUGUUUAAAGAGGCUGGCACCUCCUCCUCCCUCUCUUGCCACGUGAGACCCCGCUGCCCCUUGGCCUUCUGCCAUGAUUGAAAGCUUCCUGAGGCCCCACUGGAAGCAGAUGCUGACACCGUUGCUUCGUGUACAGUCUGUAGAACUAUGAGACAAAUAAACUGCUUUGUAAAUACCCAGCCUCAGUAUUCCUUUAUAGCAGUGCAAAACAGACUAAUCAAAGGGGGAAGCAUUUCCAGGUAAAGAAGAUAACCAAUUAUUGUUAUUGUAAUAUCUAAAGAAACCGUAAAUUUCAAAGGUAAAAUCUAACCUUAUUCUAGUGCCCAAGGAAGUGCUGGGAAUGUUUAAAUAAGAGGGCAGCAGGGAAUGGAAGGAGCGCCUCGGAAAUGCCUACUCCAUGCCAGGCUCCCUACUACAGGCUUUACGUGUUAUCUUGUACAUCUCAGUAAGAUGAGCAGACAUGGUGCUUUUUAAAAGACGUCAUGGGAGUUUGAAAGGGGGAAGAUUGGGUAAAUGGAAAAACAGAAGUCAUGGCUUUGCAAAAGUUGAAUCAAACUGCUCCUUGGCCCGGCCCCAUCACACACACAGAUCCCCCUUGGCAUGGCCAAAAUGAGUGUGUUCAUUGGCAAAUCAGCAGCCACUCUUGGAAGCUCUGACUUCUCUGGAAGGCAGAUGACAGAAGCAGUCUAUUUUAUUCCUAUUUUAUAGAUGAGGGAACUGAGGCUCAGAAACAAACACUCAUCAUUUGAAUACAGGAGCCAUUACCGAAUCAAACCUCUCUGGAAACCGCCUGAACUCUAUGUGAUCCAGGAAGGGGAAAGACUGUGUGCUCAGUUAGAGAAAGACUAGAGAUGGUCACACCAGCUACCAUUAGUUGAGACCUUACCAGACACAGUGCUCACCACUCCACAGUCACAGACAAACAUCUCACUUAAAACUCCAAAGUGGCCGGGUGCGGUGGCUCAUGCCUGUAGUCCCAGCACGUUGGGAGGCUGAGGUGGGCGGAUUAAGAGGUCAAGAAUUUGAGACCAGCCUGGCCAACAUGGCGAAACCCCGUCUCUACUAAGAAUACAAAAAUUAGGGCUGGGCGCGGUG